GGGUGUGAUCACACUAGCACUAAUACACCGGAUCUCAUCAGAACUCCGCAGUUAAGCAUUCUUGGGCGAGAGUAGUACUAGGUUGGGUGACCCCCUGGGAAGUCCUCGUGUUGCAUCCU
Molecule: non-coding RNA, 119 nt
Organism: Elaeis guineensis (African oil palm)
Lineage: Eukaryota; Viridiplantae; Streptophyta; Magnoliopsida; Arecales; Arecaceae
Source: RefSeq, a predicted model, not a curated record